CAUUUAGCUAGUACGUGGGGUAUAGGCCUUCCAUGGCGAGGAUUCAUGUCCGACAGUAGAGAUCGAUCUGCCACAUUGAGACUGAGACACGGCCCAGACUCCUACGGGAGGCACCUGUGGGGAAUAUUGGGCAAGGGAGUGAACCUAGAGGCAGCAUCGUCGCGUGAAGGAUGAAGGUCUUCGGAUCGUAAACUUCUUUGAUUUGGGAAGAAGCAGUCACGGUACCCAAAGAACAAGCCACGGCUACAUCCGGACCAGCAUCCUCGGUCAUACGUAGGUGGCAAGUCUUGUCUUGAAUUAUUGGGCAUAAUGGGCGUGUAGGCCGGGAUGCAAAUCUGAUGUGAAAAUCUCAGGCUCAAUUGGGGGGGUGCAUCUGAAACGCCCUCUACCGAUUUUUGGAGAGGGAAGCCGAAUUCCCACCGUAGCGGUGAAAGGCGUAGAGCCCGGAAGAAGCACCGGAGGAAGGCGGCUUCCUGGACAUCAACUGAGUAUUGAGGCGCGAAAGCGUGGGGAGCAAACAGGAUUAGAUUCCUUGGUAGUCCUCACCGUAAACGAAGUAUCCUAGUUGCCACUGUCCCCCCCAGAUGAAUCCAAGAGUUAUCACAAUAAGUACACCACUAGGCAAGCACGGCAGCAACAUCGAAACCCAA
Molecule: ribosomal RNA, 650 nt
Filed under: uncultured organism
Description: bacterial SSU rRNA
Rfam family: Bacterial small subunit ribosomal RNA
Source: RNAcentral